Molecule: transfer RNA, 67 nt
Filed under: Marmota monax (woodchuck)
Lineage: Eukaryota; Metazoa; Chordata; Mammalia; Rodentia; Sciuridae
Description: tRNA.Ala
Source: RNAcentral
GGUUGUGGCUCAGUGAUAGAGCGCUUGCCUAGCACAUGUGAGGCACUGGGUUCGAUUCUCAGCACCA